RNAcentral lists this ribosomal RNA (510 nucleotides) under uncultured bacterium. Its description in RNAcentral is "bacterial SSU rRNA". It matches the Rfam family "Bacterial small subunit ribosomal RNA", at positions 57 to 614 of the family's 1533-position model. The record is from RNAcentral.
GCAGUCGAGCGGGCCCUUCGGGGUCAGCGGCGGACGGGUGAGUAACGCGUGGGAACGUGCCUUCUGGUUCGGAAUAACCCUGGGAAACUAGGGCUAAUACCGGAUACGCCCUUUUGGGGAAAGGUUUACUGCCGGAAGAUCGGCCCGCGUCUGAUUAGCUAGUUGGUGGGGUAACGGCCUACCAAGGCGACGAUCAGUAGCUGGUCUGAGAGGAUGAUCAGCCACACUGGGACUGAGACACGGCCCAGACUCCUACGGGAGGCAGCAGUGGGGAAUAUUGGACAAUGGGCGCAAGCCUGAUCCAGCCAUGCCGCGUGAGUGAUGAAGGCCUUAGGGUUGUAAAGCUCUUUUAUCCGGGACGAUAAUGACGGUACCGGAGGAAUAAGCCCCGGCUAACUUCGUGCCAGCAGCCGCGGUAAUACGAAGGGGGCUAGCGUUGCUCGGAAUCACUGGGCGUAAAGGGCGCGUAGGCGGCGUUUUAAGUCGGGGGUGAAAGCCUGUGGCUCAACC